Molecule: ribosomal RNA, 352 nt
Filed under: uncultured Enterobacter sp.
Lineage: Bacteria; Pseudomonadati; Pseudomonadota; Gammaproteobacteria; Enterobacterales; Enterobacteriaceae
Description: bacterial SSU rRNA
Rfam family: Bacterial small subunit ribosomal RNA
Source: RNAcentral
CUUGGGCGGCCUACACAUGCAGUCGAACGGUAACAGGAAGCAGCUUGCUGCUUCGCUGACGAGUGGCGGACGGGUGAGUAAUGUCUGGGAAACUGCCUGAUGGAGGGGGAUAACUACUGGAAACGGUAGCUAAUACCGCAUAACGUCGCAAGACCAAAGAGGGGGACCUUCGGGCCUCUUGCCAUCGGAUGUGCCCAGAUGGGAUUAGCUAGUAGGUGGGGUAACGGCUCACCUAGGCGACGAUCCCUAGCUGGUCUGAGAGGAUGACCAGCCACACUGGAACUGAGACACGGUCCAGACUCCUACGGGAGGCAGCAGUGGGGAAUAUUGCACAAUGGGCGCAAGCCUGAUG